RNAcentral lists this ribosomal RNA (460 nucleotides) under uncultured bacterium. Its description in RNAcentral is "partial 16S ribosomal RNA". It matches the Rfam family "Bacterial small subunit ribosomal RNA", at positions 338 to 795 of the family's 1533-position model. The record is from RNAcentral.
CCUACGGAGUGCAGCAGUGAGGAAUAUUGGUCAAUGGACGAGAGUCUGAACCAGCCAAGUAGCGUGAAGGAUGACUGCCCUAUGGGUUGUAAACUUCUUUUAUAUGGGAAUAAAACGUUCCCCGUGUGGUCUUUUGUAUGUACCCUAUGAAUAAGGAUCGGCUAACUCCGUGCCAGCAGCCGCGGUAAUACGGAGGAUCCGAGCGUUAUCCGGAUUUUUUGGGUUUAAAGGGAGCGUAGGUGGAUUGUUAAGUCAGGUGUGAAAUUUUGCGGCUCAACCUUAAAAUUGCAGUUGAAACUGGCAGUCUUGAGUACAGUAGAGGUGGGCGGAAUUCGUGGUGUAGCGGUGAAAUGCUUAGAUAUAACGAAGAACUCCGAUUGCGAAGGCAGUUCACUGGACUGCAACUGACACUGAGGCUCGAAAGUGUGGGUAUCAAACAGGAUUAGAUACCCGAGUAGUC